This 787-nucleotide ribosomal RNA is filed under the name uncultured bacterium. RNAcentral describes it as "bacterial SSU rRNA". It matches the Rfam family "Bacterial small subunit ribosomal RNA", at positions 8 to 796 of the family's 1533-position model. The record is from RNAcentral.
AGAGUUUGAUCAUGGCUCAGGAUGAACGCUAGCGGCAGGCUUAACACAUGCAAGUCGAGGGGUAUAGGUUUUCGGACCUAGAGACCGGCGCACGGGUGCGUAACGCGUAUGCAAUCUACCUUUUACAGAGGGAUAGCCCAGAGAAAUUUGGAUUAAUACCUCAUAGUAUUAUUGAAUGGCAUCAUUUAAUAAUUAAAGUCACAACGGUAAAAGAUGAGCAUGCGUCCCAUUAGCUUGUUGGUAAGGUAACGGCUUACCAAGGCAACGAUGGGUAGGGGUCCUGAGAGGGAGAUCCCCCACACUGGUACUGAGACACGGACCAGACUCCUACGGGAGGCAGCAGUGAGGAAUAUUGGUCAAUGGGCGCAAGCCUGAACCAGCCAUGCCGCGUGCAGGAUGAAGCAUCUAUGGUGUGUAAACUGCUUUUGUACGAGAAGAAACACUCCUACGUGUAGGAGCUUGACGGUAUCGUAAGAAUAAGGACCGGCUAACUCCGUGCCAGCAGCCGCGGUAAUACGGAGGGUCCAAGCGUUAUCCGGAAUCAUUGGGUUUAAAGGGUCCGUAGGCGGUUUUGUAAGUCAGUGGUGAAAGCCCAUCGCUCAACGGUGGAACGGCCAUUGAUACUGCAAGACUUGAAUUAUUGGGAAGUAACUAGAAUAUGUAGUGUAGCGGUGAAAUGCUUAGAGAUUACAUGGAAUACCAAUUGCGAAGGCAGGUUACUACCAAUAUAUUGACGCUGAUGGACGAAAGCGUGGGGAGCGAACAGGAUUAGAUACCCUAGUAGUCC